UUUUAUGGAGAGUUUGAUCCUGGCUCAGGAUGAACGCUGGCGGCGUGCCUAAUACAUGCAAGUCGAGCGAACGGACGAGAAGCUUGCUUCUCUGAUGUUAGCGGCGGACGGGUGAGUAACACGUGGAUAACCUACCUAUAAGACUGGGAUAACUUCGGGAAACCGGAGCUAAUACCGGAUAAUAUUUUGAACCGCAUGGUUCAAAAGUGAAAGACGGUCUUGCUGUCACUUAUAGAUGGAUCCGCGCUGCAUUAGCUAGUUGGUAAGGUAAC
Molecule: ribosomal RNA, 272 nt
Filed under: Staphylococcus aureus
Lineage: Bacteria; Bacillati; Bacillota; Bacilli; Caryophanales; Staphylococcaceae
Description: partial 16S ribosomal RNA
Rfam family: Bacterial small subunit ribosomal RNA
Source: RNAcentral